GAUGAACGCUGGCGGCGUGCCUAAUACAUGCAAGUCGAGCGAACAGACGAGGAGCUUGCUCCUCUGACGUUAGCGGCGGACGGGUGAGUAACACGUGGAUAACCUACCUAUAAGACUGGGAUAACUUCGGGAAACCGUAGCUAAUACCGGAUAAUAUAUUGAACCGCAUGGUUCAAUAGUGAAAGACGGUCUUGCUGUCACUUAUAGAUGGAUCCGCGCCGCAUUAGCUAGUUGGUAAGGUAACGGCUUACCAAGGCAACGAUGCGUAGCCGACCUGAGAGGGUGAUCGGCCACACUGGAACUGAGACACGGUCCAGACUCCUACGGGAGGCAGCAGUAGGGAAUCUUCCGCAAUGGGCGAAAGCCUGACGGAGCAACGCCGCGUGAGUGAUGAAGGUCUUCGGAUCGUAAAACUCUGUUAUUAGGGAAGAACAAAUGUGUAAGUAACUGUGCACAUCUUGACGGUACCUAAUCAGAAAGCCACGGCUAACUACGUG
RNAcentral lists this ribosomal RNA (497 nucleotides) under uncultured bacterium. Its description in RNAcentral is "partial 16S ribosomal RNA". It matches the Rfam family "Bacterial small subunit ribosomal RNA", at positions 28 to 507 of the family's 1533-position model. The record is from RNAcentral.